This 230-nucleotide ribosomal RNA is filed under the name uncultured bacterium. RNAcentral's name for it is "partial 16S ribosomal RNA". It matches the Rfam family "Bacterial small subunit ribosomal RNA", at positions 104 to 334 of the family's 1533-position model. The record is from RNAcentral.
CGGGCUGAGUAACGCGUAGGUGACCUGCCCCGAAGUGGGGAAUAACUGCCCGAAAGGGUGGCUAAUACCGCAUGUGGUGGUGCGAUCAUUCGCACCAGUAAAGCCGCAAGGCGCUUCGGGAGGGGCCUGCGUCCGAUUAGCUCGUUGGUGGGGUAACGGCUCACCAAGGCGACGAUCGGUAGGUGGUCUGAGAGGACGAUCACCCAGACUGGGACUGAGACACGGCCCAG